GGCGAGGUAGCUCAGUUGGCAGAGCAGCGGACUCAUAAGCCGUAGGUCGUGGGUUCGAGUCCCACUCUCGCCACAA
Molecule: transfer RNA, 76 nt
Filed under: Chloroflexi bacterium HGW-Chloroflexi-3
Lineage: Bacteria; Bacillati; Chloroflexota
Description: tRNA-Met
Rfam family: tRNA
About the family: Transfer RNA (tRNA) molecules are approximately 80 nucleotides in length. Their secondary structure includes four short double-helical elements and three loops (D, anti-codon, and T loops). Further hydrogen bonds mediate the characteristic L-shaped molecular structure. tRNAs have two regions of fundamental functional importance: the anti-codon, which is responsible for specific mRNA codon recognition, and the 3' end, to which the tRNAs corresponding amino acid is attached (by aminoacyl-tRNA synthetases). tRNAs cope with the degeneracy of the genetic code in two manners: having more than one tRNA (with a specific anti-codon) for a particular amino acid; and 'wobble' base-pairing, i.e. permitting non-standard base-pairing at the 3rd anti-codon position.
Source: RNAcentral